This 316-nucleotide ribosomal RNA is filed under the name uncultured Spongomonas. Its description in RNAcentral is "bacterial SSU rRNA". The stretch from base 99 to 316 matches the Rfam family "Eukaryotic small subunit ribosomal RNA", at positions 735 to 955 of the family's 1831-position model. Lineage: Eukaryota; Cercozoa; Imbricatea; Spongomonadida. RNAcentral also lists the same sequence under 1 other name. The record is from RNAcentral.
GAUUUCUGGUACGGUGCGCGUGGCCCGCCAUCGAAAGGUGCGCGAGUGUCGCUUGUGCGUCUACCAUCUCUCAUAGCUAGGGUGUCUCUCUCCAGGGGCAUCUGAACUAUGUCUUUUACUUUGAAGAAAUUAGAGUGUUCAAAGCAGGCUUGCGCAUGAAUAUAUUAGCAUGGAAUAAUAAUUUAGGACUUUGAUCCUAUUUUGUUGGUUUUAAGGAUUAAAGUAAUGAUUGAUAGGGAUAGUUGGGGGUGCUAGUAUUCACCGGCCAGAGGUGAAAUUCUUGGAUUCGGUGAAGACUAACUUAUGCGAAAGCAUU